RNAcentral lists this ribosomal RNA (468 nucleotides) under uncultured bacterium. Its description in RNAcentral is "partial 16S ribosomal RNA". It matches the Rfam family "Bacterial small subunit ribosomal RNA", at positions 28 to 507 of the family's 1533-position model. The record is from RNAcentral.
GACGAACGCUGGCGGCGUGCUUAACACAUGCAAGUCGAACGGAAAGGCCCUGCUCUUGUGGGGUGCUCGAGUGCCGAACGGGUGAGUAAAACGUGAGUAACCUGCCCCUGUCUUUCGGAUAACUUUACGAAACUGGGGCUAAUACCGGAUAGGAGCUCUUGCUGCAUGGUGGGGGUUGGAAAGUUUCGGUGGUUGGGGAUGGACUCGCGGCUUAUCAGCUUGUUGGUGGGGUAGUGGCUGAACAAGGGUUUGACGGGUAGCCGGCCUGGGAGGGUUACCGGCCACAUUGGGACUGAGAUACGGCCCAGACUCCUACGGGAGGCAGCAGUGGAGAAUAUUGCACAAUGAGCGGAAGUCUGAUGCAGCAGCGCCGCGUGCGGAAUGACGGCCUUCGGGGUGUAAACCGCUUUCGCCUGUGACGAAGCGUGAGUGACGGUAAUGGGUAAAGAAGCACCGGCUAACUACGUG